GCCAAAAAGUUCGUUUGGGUUUUUCCAUAAGCUGGUAUGGAAAAACCCAACGAACUUUUU
Molecule: microRNA precursor, 60 nt
Filed under: Tursiops truncatus (common bottlenose dolphin)
Lineage: Eukaryota; Metazoa; Chordata; Mammalia; Artiodactyla; Delphinidae
Description: miRNA (ENSTTRG00000024897.1)
Source: RNAcentral